UCCACUUGGAUGAAGAGACGUGGUGCUAGUGGUUGGCAGGGGUGGAAAAGGAUCAUUGCCGACUUGUUGAAGUUGAAGACCUUGUUUCUGACGCUGCUUGAGGUCAAAGGCAGCCCAACCUGGGGACUUACCUCUCGACUGUGACUUUUUGGCAGAGGGCAGGCUCGCAUUAGCAUUCAUGUUGUCUCAAAGCAUGCCCUUCCUUCAAUGAAAAGCCUUAGCACCACCUCGAAUUGUUCAG
This 241-nucleotide unclassified non-coding RNA is filed under the name Hevea brasiliensis (rubber tree). Lineage: Eukaryota; Viridiplantae; Streptophyta; Magnoliopsida; Malpighiales; Euphorbiaceae. The record is from RNAcentral.